RNAcentral lists this ribosomal RNA (315 nucleotides) under uncultured eukaryote. RNAcentral's name for it is "partial 18S ribosomal RNA". It matches the Rfam family "Eukaryotic small subunit ribosomal RNA", at positions 1470 to 1796 of the family's 1831-position model. The record is from RNAcentral.
CCCUUAGAUGUUCUGGGCUGCACGCGCGCUACACUGACCAGUGCAACAAGCAUCCGUCCUUGGCCGACAGGCCCGGGCAAUCUUUGAACGCUGGUCGUGAUGGGGAUAGACUUUUGCAAUUUUUGGUCUUCAACGAGGAAUUCCUAGUAAACGCAAGUCAUCAACUUGCAUUGAUUACGUCCCUGCCCUUUGUACACACCGCCCGUCGCACCUACCGAUUGAAUGGUCCGGUGAAGCCUCCGGAUUGGCGCGCACCCCGGUGCCGCCGAGAAGUUGGCUAAACCUUACCAUUUAGAGGAAGGUGAAGUCGUAACA